This 1192-nucleotide ribosomal RNA is filed under the name human metagenome. RNAcentral's name for it is "bacterial LSU rRNA". It matches the Rfam family "Bacterial large subunit ribosomal RNA", at positions 1295 to 2555 of the family's 2925-position model. The record is from RNAcentral.
UGCCGGAAUGAGUAGCGAGAAUUGCGUGAGAAUCGUAAUGGCCGAAAAUCUAAGGAUUCCGGGGGAAGGUUCGUCCGCCCCGGGUAAGCCGGGAGCUAAGGCGAGGCCGAAAGGCGUAGUCGAUGCACAUACGGUAGAGAUUCCGUAGCCGCCAAAGAUUUAAGCACACUGACACCAGAUGAAAUCAUGACCCGGGCGUUGGUAGCCCCGGGCGAAAGGGACUGAAGUUUAGUAGGGAAGCAUGAGGACAUAGGGGCGAGAAAAGGUGUGAGGGAUAUCGAAGGCGCCCGUACCGCAAACCGACACAGGUAGAUGAGGAGAGAAUCCUAAGGCCAACGGGAGAAGGGUUGUUAAGGAACUCGGCAUAUUGACCCCGUAACUUCGGAAGAAGGGGUGCCUCUGAAAAGAGGCCACAGUGAAAAGGCCCAGGCGACUGUUUAGCAAAAACACAGGUCUCUGCAAAACCGAAAGGUGAAGUAUAGGGGCUGACGCCUGCCCGGUGCUGGAAGGUCAAGGGGAACGCUUAGCCGCAAGGCGAAGGCGUGAACUUAAGCCCCAGUAAACGGCGGCCGUAACUAUAACGGUCCUAAGGUAGCGAAAUUCCUUGUCAGGUAAGUUCUGACCCGCACGAAUGGCGUAACGAUCUGGGCACUGUCUCGACAGCCCGCCCGGCGAAAUUGUAGUACCGGUGAAGAUGCCGGUUACCCGCGACUAGACGGAAAGACCCCAUGGAGCUUUACUGUAGUUUGAUAUUGAAUUCCGGCACAUUAUGUACAGGAUAGGUGGGAGACAGAGAAGCAGCGGCGUCAGCUGCUGUGGAGUCGACGUUGGGAUACCACUCUUGAUGUAUCGGGGUUCUAACCUGCAGCCGUGAAUCCGGCUGGGGGACAAUGUCAGAUGGGCAGUUUGACUGGGGCGGUCGCCUCCUAAAGAGUAACGGAGGCGCUCAAAGGUUAGCUCAGCGCGGAUGGAAAUCGCGCAGUGAGUGUAAACGCAGAAGCUAGCCUAACUGCGAGACCUACAAGUCGAGCAGUAACGAAAGUUGGAGUUAGUGAUCAGAUGGUAGUGAGUGGAAAUGCCAUCGCUUAACGGAUAAAAGCUACCCUGGGGAUAACAGGCUGAUCUCCCCCAAGAGUUCACAUCGACGGGGAGGUUUGGCACCUCGAUGUCGGCUCAUCACAUCCUGGGGCUG